RNAcentral lists this ribosomal RNA (500 nucleotides) under uncultured cyanobacterium. Its description in RNAcentral is "bacterial SSU rRNA". It matches the Rfam family "Bacterial small subunit ribosomal RNA", at positions 356 to 869 of the family's 1533-position model. Lineage: Bacteria; Bacillati; Cyanobacteriota. The record is from RNAcentral.
GGGGAAUCUUCCGCAAUGGGCGAAAGCCUGACGGAGCAAGACCGCGUGAGGGAGGAAGGCUCUUGGGUUGUAAACCUCUUUUCUUGGGGAAUAAAAAAAUGAAGGUACCCAAGGAAUCAGCAUCGGCUAACUCCGUGCCAGCAGCCGCGGUAAUACGGAGGAUGCAAGCGUUAUCCGGAAUUAUUGGGCGUAAAGCGUCCGCAGGUGGCACUUCAAGUCUGCUGUCAAAGACCGGGGCUUAACCCUGGAAAGGCAGUGGAAACUGAAGCGCUAGAGUGUCGUAGGGGUAGAGGGAAUUCCUGGUGUAGCGGUGAAAUGCGUAGAGAUCAGGAAGAACAUCGGUGGCGAAAGCGCUCUACUGGACGACAACUGACACUCAGGGACGAAAGCUAGGGGAGCGAAUGGGAUUAGAUACCCCAGUAGUCCUAGCCGUAAACGAUGGAUACUAGGUGUGGCUUGUAUCGACCCGAGCCGUGCCGUAGCUAACGCGUUAAGUAUCC